This 433-nucleotide ribosomal RNA is filed under the name uncultured bacterium. RNAcentral describes it as "partial 16S ribosomal RNA". It matches the Rfam family "Bacterial small subunit ribosomal RNA", at positions 29 to 507 of the family's 1533-position model. The record is from RNAcentral.
AGCGAACGCUGGCGGCAGGCCUAACACAUGCAAGUCGAACGAACUCUUCGGAGUUAGUGGCGGACGGGUGAGUAACACGUGGGAACGUGCCUUUUGGUUCGGAAUAACUCAGGGAAACUUGCGCUAAUACCGAAUGUGCCCUUCGGGGGAAAGAUUUAUCGCCAUUAGAGCGGCCCGCGUCUGAUUAGCUAGUUGGUGAGGUAACGGCUCACCAAGGCGACGAUCAGUAGCUGGUCUGAGAGGAUGACCAGCCACACUGGGACUGAGACACGGCCCAGACUCCUACGGGAGGCAGCAGUGGGGAAUCUUGCGCAAUGGGCGAAAGCCUGACGCAGCCACGCCGCGUGAAUGAUGAAGGUCUUAGGAUUGUAAAAUUCUUUCACCGGGGACGAUAAUGACGGUACCCGGAGAAGAAGCCCCGGCUAACUUCGUG